This 486-nucleotide ribosomal RNA is filed under the name uncultured bacterium. RNAcentral describes it as "partial 16S ribosomal RNA". It matches the Rfam family "Bacterial small subunit ribosomal RNA", at positions 30 to 507 of the family's 1533-position model. The record is from RNAcentral.
AUUGAACGCUGGCGGCAUGCCCUACACAUGCAAGUCGAACGGCAGCACGGGUGCUUGCACCUGGUGGCGAGUGGCGAACGGGUGAGUAAUACAUCGGAACAUGUCCUGUAGUGGGGGAUAGCCCGGCGAAAGCCGGAUUAAUACCGCAUACGAUCUACGGAUGAAAGCGGGGGACCUUCGGGCCUCGCGCUAUCGGGUUGGCCGAUGGCUGAUUAGCUAGUUGGUGGGGUAAAGGCCUACCAAGGCGACAAUCAGUAGCUGGUCUGAGAGGACGACCAGCCACACUGGGACUGAGACACGGCCCAGACUCCUACGGGAGGCAGCAGUGGGGAAUUUUGGACAAUGGGCGAAAGCCUGAUCCAGCAAUGCCGCGUGUGUGAAGAAGGCCUUCGGGUUGUAAAGCACUUUUGUCCGGAAAGAAAUCCUUGGCCCUAAUACGGUCGGGGGAUGACGGUACCGGAAGAAUAAGCACCGGCUAACUACGUG